RNAcentral lists this ribosomal RNA (253 nucleotides) under uncultured bacterium. RNAcentral describes it as "partial 16S ribosomal RNA". It matches the Rfam family "Bacterial small subunit ribosomal RNA", at positions 524 to 776 of the family's 1533-position model. The record is from RNAcentral.
UACAGAGGUCCCAAGCGUUGUUCGGAUUCACUGGGCGUAAAGGGUGCGUAGGUGGCGAGGUAAGUCGGAUGUGAAAUCUCCGAGCUCAACUCGGAAAUGGCAUUGGAAACUACCUUGCUUGAGGGUCGGAGGGGGGACUGGAAUACUUGGUGUAGCAGUGAAAUGCGUAGAUAUCAAGUGGAACACCAGUGGCGAAGGCGGCUCGCUGGGCUCUACCUGACGCUGAGGCGCGAAAGCGUGGGGAGCGAACCGG